AUGACUACAAUGGGAAGCCAGUGGCCAGGAGCUGCAACCAGGUCUUCCACAUCAGUGCAGGGCCCAAGCACUUGGAGCAUCUUCUGCUGCUUUCCCAAGCACAUUAGCAGGGAGCUGAAUCAGAAGUGGAACAUGCGGACUCAAGCUGACACUCACAUGGAACUGGAAGCUUAUCUCACCUUGCCACAAUGUCAUUCCCUAUGGGAAAAUUUUAAUUGCAAUAGAAAAAUUAGUAUGCAAGAUAAAAAUAUAGAUGUCAAAAUGUACUAUAUAAUUUCUAGUAAAAGAAUACCUAGAAUUUCAUUUCUUUUUUAUUUAGUAAAUAUAAAGUUCCAAAGUACAGUUUAUGGAUUACAUUGGCUUCCCCACCCCCAUAAUUUCCCUGCCACUCGCAACCCGCCCAUCUCCUGCUCCCUUUCCCAUUAUUCACAUCAAGAUUUAUUUCAAUUAUCUUUAUAAACAGAAGAUCGAUUCAGUAUAUAUUAAGUAAAGAUUUCAUCAGUUUGCACCCACACAGAAACACAAAGUGUAAAAUUCUGUUUCAGUACUAGUUAUAGCAUUACUUCACAUUGGACAACACAUUAAGCACAGAUCCCACAUGAGAAGUAAGUACACAGUGACUCCUGUUGUUGACUUAACAAUUUGACACUCUUGUUUAUGGCGACAGUAAUCUCCCUAGGCUAUAGUCAUGAGUUGCCAAGGCAAUGGAAGUCUUUUGAGUUCGCCGACUUCAAUCUUAUUCCGACAGGGUCAUAGUCAAAGUGGAAGUUCUCUCCUCCCUUCAGAGAAAGGUACCUCCUUCUUUGAUGGCCCCAUUCUUUCCAGUGGGAUCUCACUCGCAGAGAUCUUUCAUUUAGGUCUUUUUUUUUUUUCCCAGAGUGUCUUGGCUUUCCAUACCUAAAAUACUCUCAUGAGCUCUUAACCCAGAUCCAAAUGCCUUAAGGGCUGAUUCUGAAGCCAGAGUGCUAUUUAGGACAUCUGCCAUUCUAUGAAUCUGCUGUGUAUCACACUUCCCAUGUUGGAUCAUUCUCUCCCUUUUUGAUUCUAUCAGCUAGUAUUUGCAGACACUAGUCUUGUUUGUGUGAUCCCUUUGACUCUUAGACCUAUCACUGUGAUCAAUUGUGAACAGAAAUUGAUCACUUGGACUAGUGAGAUGGCAUUGGUAGAUCCCUCCCUGAUGGGAUUGAAUUGGAAUCCCCUGGAACGUUUCUAACUCCACCAUUUGGGGCAAGUCCGAUUGAGCAUAUCCCAAAUUGUACAUCUCCUCCCUCUCUUAUUCCUACUCUUACAUUUAACAGGGACUACUUUUCAGGUAAAAUUUAAACACCUAAGAAUAAUUCUGUAUUAAUUACAGAGUUCAACCAAUAGUACUAGAACAAAAAAAAAAUACUAAAAUGGAUAAAGUAUUACAUUGUACAUCAACAGUCAGGAUAAGAGCUGAUCAAGUCACUGUUUCUCAUAGUGUCCAUUUCACUUCAACAGGUUUCCCCUUUGGUGCUCAGUUAGUUGUCGCCGAUCAGGGAGAACAUAUAUUUGUCCCUUUGGGACCGGCUUAAUAGAAUUUCAUUUCUGACACAAAUUAAAAGUAUUAUGAAUGGAAUAUGAACAUAGACAAUACCAAAUAUUAACAUGUUUUUGUCUUGGAAUCAUUAAGUUUACAUAUAUAUUACCAAAAAAUUUCUUUUUAAAACUAACAUUGUCUUGAUAACCUCAAGAAAUCGGAAACUCUAAUAUUUCAGAGCUCAAAAUCUUUUACUCUUUAAAUACAAAGAAAUGAGAUCAGGAAUACAAUCUUGUAUCUGUGGCUACCAAGAAAAUUUAUAGUAAAACAAGAACUAAAAGCCAGGUUUCCUGUCCCUUGGUACAACAUUCUCACACAGCACAGCCACUGUCUUUUAAGAAUAUUCCAUAGAAGCACUGUUCCAUGAUGAAGUCAUUUCAUGUGGAAAUGAAAGCAGACAGGGAUUAUCACUACCCAAACAGUGUUGACCUGUUUUGGGGUGUGACAAGUCAUGGAGAAGAUUAUUUCCUUCAGGCAACUGGCACUGAAUUUGGUAUCACACAAAAUCGAGCUGCAGGACAAAUUACAAACCAACACGUAAUAGUGGCAGUGGCCCAGUGUUGCAAAUGUUGCACCUAUUUCUAACUAGUCACUCCUGCCCUCAGGCAGUGUUGCUGUCACACAGUGCUGUCAUGAGAAAGAGUAGCAACUGAGAAAUGUAACAUGGUGAUAUACACCAGGAUCAGGAAGGCCAAUUUUGAGCACAAUCAGAUAAAAUCACCAUUAAUAAAAUGUUCAGAAAGCAUAAAUUUUUACA
Oryctolagus cuniculus (rabbit) is the source of this 2318-nucleotide long non-coding RNA. NCBI's taxonomy places the organism in Eukaryota, Metazoa, Chordata, Mammalia, Lagomorpha, Leporidae. The record is from Ensembl.